GAGACAGGUGAUACAGAUGACACCAACAUACACUCCCUCAGGUACAUACACACAGGUAAUAAAUACACUUUCAACAUGUGAGGAGCCAUACUUGUGAACAUGGAUUAUUUCCUGUAACAAUUUCCGUAUCAGCCUAAUAAAAAUCAUAAAGAGCAACUGCCAAUAAAAAGCAACUAAUCCCAUUGAAAAUGGACUAUGUGGCAUUUAUAAGUCACAAACAUGUACCAUAGUGUCAAAAUUAACUACAAAGUGAAAAUAGGAUAAUCAGCCUAGUCAAAAACGGAGUUCGGAACCCAGUGCUUCACAACGAGUGAAUGAAGUUUGGUUUUUUGGAUUACAAUUAUGUCAACAAAUCAUCCCCAAUUUUGCCAAGCUCCACGUGCAAAUCGCCCCCAUCCGCUUCGCUUUUCAAAAUGGGGCUAUUUUUUCAGCGCCGUUUCUGACUGAAAAGCCCUAACGUUAUAUGGGUUGACCAUGGCUCCACACAGUUAUACGGUUUACAUGGCCUGCCGAAGGAACCUAGUAUGCGGAAAGGUGGUUGGAGUUUCGCCAGUCCCCUUUGCACCACCAGUAUAGUAACGCUAACUUGGUGUGCAACGUUCGGUGGUGGCCCUCCCAGUCAACACCACCUCAUAAAAUAAGGAAGUCCAUUAUUUGAGGAUCGCUUGCAGCAGUUGUUACAGAGAUGUUCCGUUUGCUGCCAAACAUGUAACAUAGAGAAGAACAACAAGGGGACCCUGAACAUCACGCACACAUGCCCUCGCUGUGAGCAUUCCUAUAAAUUGAACAGGGAGGACGCUUGAAUCAGGACAAUGACCCAACACACCUCCAGGCUGUGUAAGGGCUAUUUGACCAAGGAGGAGAGUGGAUGGAGUGCUGCAUCAGAUGACAUGGCAUCCACAAUCACCUGACCUCAACCCAAUUGAGAUGGUUUGGGAUGAGUUGGAUGGCAGAGUGAAGGAAAAGCAGCCAACAAGUGCUCAGCAUAUGUGGGAACUCCUUCCAGACUGUUGGAAAAGCAUUCUCAUGAAGCUGGUUGAGAGAAUGCCAAGAGUGUGCAAAGCUGUCAUCAAGGCUACAUUGAGGUUAAACACAAAAUGGGACUUUUCAUUCUAUUGAACAUAAAAACGUUUUAAAUACACCAUUAAAAAUUAAACAGGAAUUUGUUAUAAUGUAGCCUACUCAGUACAAACACUAUGUAACAACAUACUUUUUAGGCUUAUAUGUGACAUACUGUAUCAUGCAAUAUUCUAACCAGGGAAAUUCAACACUGAAAUCUGUUCAUCUCAUUAUUCCAAAUGCAUCUUUGGACAACAAUGAAAAUUAAUCUAUUUUUAACGCAGGGUUUGAUCUAAACGUAAUAAGCUAUAAAGUAGAAUGGUUUCCAUUUUAUAGAGUGGAAUGGUUUUUCUGCUGGUGUAUCCUGAGGUAGGUCCUCUCUAAGAACGUCUUCCCACAAUACAUACAGGCAAACGGCCUUUCUCCCGUGUGGACCUUCAGGUGCCUCUUCAGGCUGCCUGUCUUGGUGAAGCGCAUGUGACACUGGGGGCAGCUUUAGGGUUUCUCCCCUGUGGACUCUCUGGUGCCUCUUCAGGUCACCCAUCUGGGUGAAGCACAUGUGACACUGUAGGGUUUCUCCCUUGUGUGGAACCUCUGGUGGAUCUCCACCUUCUGGGAGCAGCUGAAGCCUUUGUUACAGAACAUGCAGAGGAACCGUUUCUCUCUACUAUUGCCUGAUGUGGCUCCCCCUCCAGGAGGCUGGCCUCUAGCCCUUUCAUUUGAGUUUAAUACUUGAUCGAAAAGGAUGCAGCCUUUUGAAUCGGAAGGCCCCAUUGACGUGGACUCUGGGUCGUGAUCCCUAAACAAGUGUAAAGGGGAGUGGGUUGCGACAAUUGGAUUUGUCUCUAAGCUUCCCCUGUAAUCUAAGAAACAUCUUCCCUGUGAGUGUCUGUCUCCUAGGUGACUAUCUGUAUUCCAUGUGGGAGGAACGUCGCCCUCCACUUUCACAUCUACGACCAGACCCUCCCCUUUCUUAUCUAGGCACCCUUCAGAGUAUACACUACCACUGUAGUCCCCUCUGUGGACAGAUCAGUCUUUUUCUCUAAACCCAUGGACAUGUUGCCAGGGUCCAUCUCUGUAGUGUAAGAACAAGACGGAUCAUCACCACCAGUGUCUAACACAUCACUAUCACCAUGGAAAUUAACCAUCCUCUGGCUAUGGUGAAAUAACGGUAUAUACUCUGAGCCAGGAGCAGGAGGACAGCCCAGUCUCCCCGGGUCUGACCUGUCAUCAGAUCCUGUGUGUAAAAGCCUGUGUGUUACAGUUAGUCUUGGUGUCUGUCUCUGACUUGAGGAUGGC
Long non-coding RNA from Oncorhynchus keta (chum salmon), 2358 nucleotides. RefSeq lists it as uncharacterized. NCBI's taxonomy places the organism in Eukaryota, Metazoa, Chordata, Actinopteri, Salmoniformes, Salmonidae. The record is from RefSeq and is a predicted model, not a curated record. The transcript has 3 exons.